GGGUUGUUAGCUCAGUUGGUUUAGAGCGCUUGCUUGACAGGCAAGAGGUCGCUGGUUCGAAUCCGGUACAACCCACCA
This 78-nucleotide transfer RNA is filed under the name Cyclobacteriaceae bacterium. RNAcentral describes it as "tRNA-Val". It matches the Rfam family "tRNA". From Rfam's summary of the family: Transfer RNA (tRNA) molecules are approximately 80 nucleotides in length. Their secondary structure includes four short double-helical elements and three loops (D, anti-codon, and T loops). Lineage: Bacteria; Pseudomonadati; Bacteroidota; Cytophagia; Cytophagales; Cyclobacteriaceae. The record is from RNAcentral.